Molecule: transfer RNA, 72 nt
Filed under: Candidatus Magasanikbacteria bacterium RIFCSPHIGHO2_02_FULL_50_9b
Lineage: Bacteria; Candidatus Magasanikiibacteriota
Description: tRNA-Thr
Rfam family: tRNA
About the family: Transfer RNA (tRNA) molecules are approximately 80 nucleotides in length. Their secondary structure includes four short double-helical elements and three loops (D, anti-codon, and T loops). Further hydrogen bonds mediate the characteristic L-shaped molecular structure. tRNAs have two regions of fundamental functional importance: the anti-codon, which is responsible for specific mRNA codon recognition, and the 3' end, to which the tRNAs corresponding amino acid is attached (by aminoacyl-tRNA synthetases). tRNAs cope with the degeneracy of the genetic code in two manners: having more than one tRNA (with a specific anti-codon) for a particular amino acid; and 'wobble' base-pairing, i.e. permitting non-standard base-pairing at the 3rd anti-codon position.
Source: RNAcentral
GCCGGUGUAGCAUAGCGGUAAUGCACCUGUUUUGUAAACAGAAGAGCGUGGGUUCGAAUCCCACCGCCGGCU